UGGCUGCCCGCUGCGGCCGAGGUCGCAAUCCGUCGUGCUGUCGCCGCCCUCAACUCCUUUCCCGAGGGCCCCGCAGAGCUGGAACUGGAGCUAGAGGAGGAACUGGAGCUGCUGGCGGCCGGGGAACAGCCUUCCGAACCCGGGGAGCAUCCCCAGGACAAGCCCAGGGAGGGUCGGACUGCCGCCACCGCGCCCGCCCAGAAUUCGGCAGAAGGAUCUGGUGUUAGCGACCCGAGGGGGCAAGACAUUGCUGGAGAGGAACCAAGACAAGAAUCGGCAGGAUAAGCAGAUGCACAAGGAACUGACAGAUAAGCUGGAGCUUCUGAGGACUUCUUCGAUAAACUGACAGUGGAGCAGGAGUUCAUGUCUGGAAUAGACACGGAUAAAGUCAACAGCUACAUUGAGGAUUGUAUUGCCCAAAAACAUCCCCUGAUCAAGGUGUUAAGACUAGUUUGCCUUCAAUCUGUGUGCAAUAGUGGACUCAAACAGAAAGUUCUGGAUUAUUA
Molecule: non-coding RNA, 506 nt
Organism: Odocoileus virginianus texanus
Lineage: Eukaryota; Metazoa; Chordata; Mammalia; Artiodactyla; Cervidae
Source: RefSeq, a predicted model, not a curated record